RNAcentral lists this ribosomal RNA (465 nucleotides) under Vreelandella stevensii. RNAcentral's name for it is "partial 16S ribosomal RNA". It matches the Rfam family "Bacterial small subunit ribosomal RNA", at positions 338 to 795 of the family's 1533-position model. The record is from RNAcentral. Lineage: Bacteria; Pseudomonadati; Pseudomonadota; Gammaproteobacteria; Oceanospirillales; Halomonadaceae.
CCUACGGGAGGCUGCAGUGGGGAAUAUUGGACAAUGGGGGGAACCCUGAUCCAGCCAUGCCGCGUGUGUGAAGAAGGCCCUCGGGUUGUAAAGCACUUUCAGUGAGGAAGAACGCCUGGUGGUUAAUACCCAUCAGGAAAGACAUCACUCACAGAAGAAGCACCGGCUAACUCCGUGCCAGCAGCCGCGGUAAUACGGAGGGUGCGAGCGUUAAUCGGAAUUACUGGGCGUAAAGCGCGCGUAGGUGGCUUGAUAAGCCGGUUGUGAAAGCCCCGGGCUCAACCUGGGAACGGCAUCCGGAACUGUCAAGCUAGAGUGCAGGAGAGGAAGGUAGAAUUCCCGGUGUAGCGGUGAAAUGCGUAGAGAUCGGGAGGAAUACCAGUGGCGAAGGCGGCCUUCUGGACUGACACUGCCACUGAGGUGCGAAAGCGUGGGUAGCAAACAGGAUUAGAUACCCUUGUAGUC